This 348-nucleotide unclassified non-coding RNA is filed under the name soil metagenome. RNAcentral's name for it is "partial contains 5.8S ribosomal RNA, internal transcribed spacer 2, and large subunit ribosomal RNA". The stretch from base 1 to 120 matches the Rfam family "5.8S ribosomal RNA", at positions 35 to 154 of the family's 154-position model. The record is from RNAcentral.
GAUGAAGAACGCAGCAAAAUGCGAUAAGUAAUGUGAAUUGCAGAAUUCAGUGAAUCAUCGAAUCUUUGAACGCACAUUGCGCCCGCUGGUAUUCCGGCGGGCAUGCCUGUUCGAGCGUCAUUUCAACCCUCAAGCCCCCGGGUUUGGUGUUGGGGAUCGGCUCUGCCCUUCUGGGCGGUGCCGCCCCCGAAAUACAUUGGCGGUCUCGCUGCAGCCUCCAUAGCGUAGUAGCUAACACCUCGCAACUGGAACGCGGCGCGGCCAUGCCGUAAAACCCCAACUUCUGAAUGUUGACCUCGGAUCAGGUAGGAAUACCCGCUGAACUUAAGCAUAUCAAUAAGCGGAGGA